UACAGAGGUGGCAAGCGUUGUUCGGAAUUACUGGGCGUAAAGGGCGCGUAGGCGGUCUUGUAAGUCUUGUGUGAAAUCCCUCGGCUUAACUGAGGAACUGCACGAGAUACUGCGAGACUUGAGUUCGGGAGAGGAAAGCGGAAUUCCGGGUGUAGCGGUGAAAUUCGUAGAUAUUAGGAAGAACACCGGUGGCGAAGGCGGCCCACUGGAUCGGUACUGACGCUGAGGUGCGAAAGCGUGGGGAGCAAACAGG
RNAcentral lists this ribosomal RNA (253 nucleotides) under uncultured bacterium. RNAcentral describes it as "partial 16S ribosomal RNA". It matches the Rfam family "Bacterial small subunit ribosomal RNA", at positions 524 to 776 of the family's 1533-position model. The record is from RNAcentral.